RNAcentral lists this long non-coding RNA (938 nucleotides) under Fukomys damarensis (Damara mole-rat). Its description in RNAcentral is "lncRNA (ENSFDAG00000027016.1)". Lineage: Eukaryota; Metazoa; Chordata; Mammalia; Rodentia; Bathyergidae. The record is from RNAcentral.
GGACCGAGGAGCUACACUCCAUCCAGGGGGAGCUCAGCCAGAUCAAAGCCCAGGUGGACAGGCUGUUGGAGAGUCUGGAGCACAUGGACCACAACAGGGCCCAGGCUGCAGGGACAAAGGACACUGAGGAGAACAGGGUCCCUGGUAACAAGUGCUGCUCACGCCCAGCUACUGAGGCCCAACAGGAGUCCAGGAGCCAGAGGACCCCUCUGGAGGGAAGGACAGCCACAGAGCAGGUGGUGCAGAACCAAGCAUCUGACCAGGAGGGAAGCCAGUAGCCACUGGUGGGAACCCUUCCUGGUUGGCCCCCUGCCUCCCAGCAGUACCCAAGCAACCUGAGCACCCAGGACAAUGGAAGAGGAGGCAUGGGUCAGCCCUCUCAGUUGGAAAGCCUCUCUGUAGUGUUGGGUUUAUCUUUGAUGGCUGUUUCCAGAAUCCUAGGGCUGGCAGGAUAGGGAGGCUCCCCAUCCUCACAAAGCCGAGGCACGGGAGAGCACCACCAGCCGUUCCGAAUGCAGUCACUGCCUUGGCGGAUCCCCUCCUUGCCCCACGUCUCCAAUCACAGCAGCCGGCCCAGCUUUCUUCAACCGGUGUUGAAAUGCUUGUGAUCCUCCAUUCAAACACUGAGCUGUAGACCUUAAAGGUCCACAGUGCAGCACCCCCCAGCCCUUUGCUUCCAGACUCCACCCUACACAGCCAUCCUUCAAAAGAGUGGUAGCAUUCUUUGUCAUGUUCUGACCUUGUCUUUCAUUAGUAUACUGUGUAUCCCAGACCUGCUCUGGAAAAAAUUAAAAUGUACCCUUCUUCUUGGUCAGGAGUUCCUAUUUGUGGCUCCAGAACAUUCUGGCCCUUGGGCUGCCCGUCCUGUAGAAGGUGAGCCCUUGAGACACUCGUACCAAACUGGGGUGCAGAUAAGGCUGCUGUCUUUUCAAAAACAG